Molecule: ribosomal RNA, 484 nt
Filed under: uncultured bacterium
Lineage: Bacteria
Description: partial 16S ribosomal RNA
Rfam family: Bacterial small subunit ribosomal RNA
Source: RNAcentral
AUUGAACGCUGGCGGCAGGCCUAACACAUGCAAGUCGAGCGGAUGAAGGGAGCUUGCUCCUGGAUUCAGCGGCGGACGGGUGAGUAAUGCCUAGGAAUCUGCCUGGUAGUGGGGGAUAACGUCCGGAAACGGGCGCUAAUACCGCAUACGUCCUGAGGGAGAAAGUGGGGGAUCUUCGGACCUCACGCUAUGAGAUGAGCCUAGGUCGGAUUAGCUAGUUGGUGGGGUAAAGGCCUACUAAGGCGACGAUCCGUAACUGGCCUGAGAGGAUGAUCAGUCACACUGGAACUGAGACACGGUCCAGACUCCUACGGGAGGCAGCAGAGGGGAAUAGUGGACAGUGGGCGAAAGCCUGAUCCAGCCAUGCCGCGUGUGUGAAGAAGGUCUUCGGAUUGUAAAGCACUUUAAGUUGGGAGGAAGGGCAGUAAGUUAAUACCUUGCUGUUUUGACGUUACCAACAGAAUAAGCACCGGCUAACUUCGUG